UUUCGAAUCUUUCACAAUGGGCGAAAGCCUGAUGGAGCAACGCCGCGUGGGGGAUGAAGGUCCUCGGAUUGUAAACCCCUGUCACCAAGGAUAAACCGUGGUCGGUUAAUACCCGGCUGCCUGAUGUAACUUGGAGAGGAAGAGGUGGCUAACUCUGUGCCAGCAGCCGCGGUAAUACAGAGACCUCAAGCGUUAUUCGGAUUUACUGGGCGUAAAGGGUGCGCAGGCGGCCAGAUGUGUCAGAGGUGAAAUACUGCAGCUUAACUGUAGAACUGCCUUUGAAACUAUUUGGCUAGAGUAUCGGAGAGGAUAGCGGAAUUCCAGGUGUAGCAGUGAAAUGCGUAGAUAUCUGGAGGAACACCAAUGGCGAAGGCAGCUAUCUGGACGAUUACUGACGCUCAGGCACGAAAGCGUGGGGAGCGAAAGGGAUUAGAUACCCCCGUAGUCC
Molecule: ribosomal RNA, 448 nt
Filed under: uncultured prokaryote
Description: bacterial SSU rRNA
Rfam family: Bacterial small subunit ribosomal RNA
Source: RNAcentral